Small nuclear RNA from Monodelphis domestica (gray short-tailed opossum), 107 nucleotides. Lineage: Eukaryota; Metazoa; Chordata; Mammalia; Didelphimorphia; Didelphidae. The record is from Ensembl.
GUGCUUGCUUCAGCAGCACAUAUACUAAAAUUGGAAUGAUACAGAGAAGAUUAGCAUGGCCCGUGCACAAGGAUGACAUGCAAAUUCAUAAAGCGUUCCAUAUUUUU